Molecule: ribosomal RNA, 254 nt
Filed under: uncultured bacterium
Lineage: Bacteria
Description: partial 16S ribosomal RNA
Rfam family: Bacterial small subunit ribosomal RNA
Source: RNAcentral
UACGUAGGGACCAAGCGUUGUUCGGAUUUACUGGGCGUAAAGGGCGCGUAGGCGGCAUGAUAAGUCACUUGUGAAAUCUCCGGGCUUAACUCGGAGCGGCCAAGUGAUACUGUUAAGCUAGAGUGCAGAAAGGGCAAUCGGAAUUCUCGGUGUAGCGGUGAAAUGCGUAGAUAUCGAGAGGAACACCUGAGGCGAAGGCGGGUUGCUAGGCUGACACUGACGCUGAGUGCGCGAAAGCUAGGGUAGCAAACGGG